UGACCACGACCUGACCCCCUGGGGGCUCCUGGGGCCGCUCUCGCGGCUCCUGCGGCACCACCUGGACACCGGCGAGAUCCCGGAACAGGUGACGGUCCCGGCGCUCUCCUGCCUCUUCUUCCACCUGCUCUGGGAACUCUCCCGGAUUCCCGACUCCGGAGCCGCCCCGCAGGAACGUCGGGAGUUCCUGUCCCGGGCGCGCCGGGCGCUCUCCCUGUGCC
This is a non-coding RNA of Cyanistes caeruleus (blue tit), 221 nucleotides long. The record is from RefSeq and is a predicted model, not a curated record. Lineage: Eukaryota; Metazoa; Chordata; Aves; Passeriformes; Paridae.